This is a long non-coding RNA of Acanthochromis polyacanthus (spiny chromis), 1261 nucleotides long. RefSeq lists it as uncharacterized. The transcript is spliced from 3 exons. The record is from RefSeq and is a predicted model, not a curated record. NCBI's taxonomy places the organism in Eukaryota, Metazoa, Chordata, Actinopteri, Pomacentridae.
UGAGUGUGUUGUAUAUUUUGUACAGGAGAAGCAUCUGAUGACAUCAAUAAUCCUGACUUUGUCCCGUCUAUCUUUUCUUAUUCAUCCCGGUCAGACAAGGAAGGCGAUGCCAAAUUGGAGCAAUAUAAGAGAAAAAGAUGAAGAGAUGAAGCCUCCAGAAGAUGUCCACACAAUGAUCAAUCUACACCCAUUUCCCCAGCAAAUGAUAGUGGAAUGGACCCUGAUCAAUCUACGCCCACUCCACCUGUGAAUGACUGUGAAAUGGAGCCAAAUGCUGAUCUUUGUAAUGAAGCUGCAGUCCCAAAGGCCGACCAUGAGGACCUCAAACAGAAAUACCACCAACUGAAUAUCGAGUGUGACAACCUGUGUGCAGAAAACAACCAACUGAGAGCUGAGAAUGAAGAAAUAAAAGCAGUUUAAAUUUUAAAGAACUGUUCAGCAAUAGGGAGGGCUGUGGAAAGGAAUGGAUCAUCUCUGGCAAAACGAGUGAUGAUUAGAUCUUGCUGUGUCCACUUCACAAAGUCGCAGUACUCUACCUCACAUACAAACAUGUCAAGUUGUACUUGAUGGUAGUACUUGUGGUUCUUUUUGAGACAGAAUGAUUGGUCUAAGCAAAAAUCUUUGUCCUCACCGCUUCCUGUCAUGAUAUCUGUAUGGGCACUUGAUCUCUACAGUUCCUCUACCGCAGCAACCACAGUUCACCACUCCAUCUGGUGAUGCUCCAAGAUGUGGAUGGACAACUAGACCACAGAGUUCAACAUUAAAGUUGUGAUGAUGUGCUUUCAUUGCCUCAGCAUAACAUUUUCUUGCAGUGCAUUCAUUGUUUCUUCCCCACUUUAUUGCAUUUACAUGAGAUAAGUCUUUGUUGUCAUAUUGCAUCAUCUGUUUGAGUAAGUUGGUUUUAGCUGUUUCAGUUUGAACAGUACAAACACGAUAUAUGGUGGAGCUAGUAAUUCGUCCUAAUCUGUGUGUUUGCCAAGCCUGUGAUUGGGCUUGUUUUUUAGUAAUUGAUUCAAGGUUUGCACACUUUGCCUGUGUUAUCUCCCUUCUAAGCCUGGAAAAUAUAGCCUCACUUUUUUCUAGUAAUUCAGCUGAGGAGAGGCCUCUCAGAUUUGCAUCAUACAGAGCUGCCAGUGGCUCCAAUGGGUCUUCAUUCUCUUUGUCUGAAUCUGAUGCGGUGUCUGUGUCACUGCAGUCCAGGUCAGUGAGAACAGCUGCCUUGGGUUUCAGAAGUUUCAGCUUCUUCAUGUCUUCAUCUGUC